GAACGCUAGCGACAGGCUUAACACAUGCAAGUCGAGGGGCAGCACAGGUAGCAAUACCGGGUGGCGACCGGCGCACGGGUGAGUAACGCGUAUGCAACUUGCCUAUCAGAGGGGGAUAACCCGGCGAAAGUCGGACUAAUACCGCAUGAAGCAGGGGCCCCGCAUGGGGAUAUUUGCUAAAGAUUCAUCGCUGAUAGAUAGGCAUGCGUUCCAUUAGGCAGUUGGCGGGGUAACGGCCCACCAAACCGACGAUGGAUAGGGGUUCUGAGAGGAAGGUCCCCCACAUUGGUACUGAGACACGGACCAAACUCCUACGGGAGGCAGCAGUGAGGAAUAUUGGUCAAUGGGCGCGAGCCUGAACCAGCCAAGUCGCGUGAGGGAUGAAGGUUCUAUGGAUCGUAAACCUCUUUUAUAAGGGAAUAAAGUGCGGGACGUGUCCCGUUUUGUAUGUACCUUAUGAAUAAGGAUCGGCUAACUCCGUGCCAGCAGCCGCGGUAAUACGGAGGAUCCGAGCGUUAUCCGGAUUUAUUGGGUUUAAAGGGUGCGUAGGCGGCCUUUUAAGUCAGCGGUGAAAGUCUGUGGCUCAACCAUAGAAUUGCCGUUGAAACUGGGGGGCUUGAGUAUGUUUGAGGCAGGCGGAAUGCGUGGUGUAGCGGUGAAAUGCAUAGAUAUCACGCAGAACCCCGAUUGCGAAGGCAGCCUGCCAAGCCAUUACUGACGCUGAUGCACGAAAGCGUGGGGAUCAAACAGGAUUAGAUACCCUGGUAGUCCACGCAGUAAACGAUGAUCACUAGCUGUUUGCGAUACACUGUAAGCGGCACAGCGAAAGCGUUAAGUGAUCCACCUGGGGAGUACGCCGGCAACGGUGAAACUCAAAGGAAUUGACGGGGGCCCGCACAAGCGGAGGAACAUGUGGUUUAAUUCGAUGAUACGCGAGGAACCUUACCCGGGUUUGAACGCAUUCGGACCGAGGUGGAAACACCUUUUCUAGCAAUAGCCGUUUGCGAGGUGCUGCAUGGUUGUCGUCAGCUCGUGCCGUGAGGUGUCGGCUUAAGUGCCAUAACGAGCGCAACCCUUGCCACUAGUUACUAACAGGUAAAGCUGAGGACUCUGGUGGGACUGCCAGCGUAAGCUGCGAGGAAGGCGGGGAUGACGUCAAAUCAGCACGGCCCUUACAUCCGGGGCGACACACGUGUUACAAUGGCGUGGACAAAGGGAAGCCACCUGGCGACAGGGAGCGAAUCCCCAAACCACGUCUCAGUUCGGAUCGGAGUCUGCAACCCGACUCCGUGAAGCUGGAUUCGCUAGUAAUCGCGCAUCAGCCAUGGCGCGGCGAAUACGUUCCCGGGCCUUGUACACACCGCCCGUCAAGCCAUGGGAGCCGGGGGUACCUGAAGUCCGUAACCGCGAGGAUCGGCCUAGGGUAAAACUGGUGACUGGGGCUAA
This 1446-nucleotide ribosomal RNA is filed under the name uncultured organism. RNAcentral's name for it is "SSU rRNA". It matches the Rfam family "Bacterial small subunit ribosomal RNA". The record is from RNAcentral.